This 484-nucleotide ribosomal RNA is filed under the name uncultured bacterium. RNAcentral's name for it is "partial 16S ribosomal RNA". It matches the Rfam family "Bacterial small subunit ribosomal RNA", at positions 29 to 507 of the family's 1533-position model. The record is from RNAcentral.
AGUGAACGCUGGCGGUAGGCCUAACACAUGCAAGUCGAACGGCUGAAGAGAAAUUGCUCCUGGUUACGGGGGGCGAGGGGUGGAUGAUGCCUAGGAAUCUGCCUGGUAGCGUGGGAGAACGUCCGAAAAUGGGGACUAAUACCGCAUAAGUCCAGAGGGCCAAAGGGGGGGAUCUUCGGACCUCACGCUAUCAGAUGAUUCUAGGUCGGAUUAGCUAGUUGGUGGGGUAAAGGCCUACCAAGGCGACGAUCCGUAACUGGUCUGAGAGGAUGAUCAGUCACACUGGAACUGAGACACGGUCCAGACUCCUACGGGAGGCAGCAGUGGGGAAUAUUGGACAAUGGGCGAAAGCCUGAUCCAGCCAUGCCGCGUGUGUGAAGAAGGUCUUCGGAUUGUAAAGCCCUUUAAGUGGGGAAGAAGAGCAGCAAGUUAAUACCUCGCUGUUCUGACGUUACCAACAGAAUAAGCACCGGCUAACUUCGUG